Molecule: long non-coding RNA, 2708 nt
Filed under: Mytilus galloprovincialis (Mediterranean mussel)
Lineage: Eukaryota; Metazoa; Mollusca; Bivalvia; Mytilida; Mytilidae
Source: RNAcentral
CUUAUGCAAUAGGUUUACUAUAUUUGUUGUAUGGAAUGAUUGUAAGGUGUACAUGUCUAGCGGGCAGAUGUUAUCUGACCUUGACCUCAUUUUCAUGGUUCAGUGGUUAUAGUUAAGUUUUGGUCUGUUUUUCUCAUACUUUAUGCAAUAGGUUUACUAUAUUUGUUGUAUGGAAUGAUUGUAAGGUGUACAUGUCUAGCGGGCAGAUGUCAUCUGACCUUGACCUCAUUUUCAUGGUUCAGUGGUCAAAGUUAAGUUUUUGAGUUUUGGUCUUUUUAUCUAAUACUGUCAUAGAUCAACUAUAUUUGGUGUAUGGAAAUAUUUUAUGAUCUAUAUGUCAGUUGUGCAGGUUUUUUUUUACCUUGACCUGGUUUUCACGGUUCAUUGCUACAUAACACAGAUCAAAACUUAAGCGUUCUGGAGUGAUGCCACUUUUAGAAUAAAAAAUGUUGAAAUUUUCGUUUCCGUGUUCUGCAUCCCUUGCAUGGACACAUUUUCCAUUUGUUUUAAACUCACUUGGGCCCAACUUGAUUUGUUAAGUCCUUCCAAUUUUACUUUCUUAAAUGACUAAAAUUUCAAAAAUGUAAAGGUAUGUCAUCAUGGUCAUCUUGCUUUGCUUGGCCGUACGUUUUAUGUUUUACUUGGAAGCAUUCACCAAAUUCAAUAGACAUAAUGCAGAAGGAGGAGGGUCUUUUCAUAAAAAGUGUAGUGUACACUGUGCAACAUCAAUUGUUCAGUUUUAAUACUAGUUGUAGUAUUCAAGUUGAAAAGGUAACACAAAACUGGGAUACAUAUGAUAGCGGGUCAAUUGGAUAUCGAUUUAUCUUGCGUAAUUCUCAUUCUGCUAGAAAAAUCGUGCCAAACUUGAACUGUCGCCGAGCUCGCCGAGAACAUGAACCAGUCUCAUUAUUUGGUCAAAUAACUUUGACCCGCCUUCUCCAAAACAAAACACACAACAGUAAAUGGGUAGAUAUUUAACAUUAAACAUUAAGAUUAUAACACUAACGAAAUGAUUUUUUUUCAAGCCUAACUAAUAAUGAUUUUAGAAACAAUAUGUGUAAACAUCGGUGUAAAAUUCACGCAAGUUGUGAAAUUGUAAAAACAAAGGGGUACGGCGCACUUCUGAUAAGGCAACUUCGAAUAUAAGAACCGAAGCUGACACCCCCCCCCCCUUUCCCGAAAGUCAGCCUCCCUAAUGGUUUUUUGAACCUUGAUCUUAAUUAUAACUCAGGUGCACGAAAGUGAAUAUGGGAAAUACCGACUUCCAUCCGUCCGUCUUGUGAAACCGCUGCCAUGUGUACAAUCUUGCCCAGAUUUUGUGAAAUUUUAUCAUCUGCAGCAAUUCUUUCACCAGCGAGAUAAAUCCUGAUAAAAAUAUUUUUAAAAACAAUUAUGCCCCUUUGAAUAUAAAUUAUUAAUGCAUCCCAUUCAGUUCUGAAGCUUUUAUUCUCUCGAGAUAAAUAAAAAAGAAAAAAAAGAAAAAAAAGUGCUUUGUAGUUUUGCCCUGUAUCUUGGAUAGAUAAAAUAUGUCCAAUGGGGACAUGGAACUCUGAUCUCCUAUCGAAAACCACAUUAAUAUUUCACCUAGAUGGAAGAAGGUAUUAUUAUAACCCCAGAAUGAUAACACUUCAUUACAAAUAGAGUUUUUAUCAUGUCGUAUUUCGUGUCACAUGAAACGAUAUCAGGAUAUGGUUUCAGAUUUUUUUUUUGAAACUAGUAACAUUGCUGUGUCACUGAGCUCUGCUUGGCUCAAUUUCAGACCAAACUUGUCCGCAGGUCCGUUUCAUCAUCAUCAUCUGCACUUGCCGUAGCCGACGACGUGCUACGAAUUAGAAUGUUUACGAAAAAGUCGAGAACACUGUUCUGCGAUUUAACUAGUAUAAUAGUGCAAGGAUUUAUCUAUCUUGUUUACACAAAGGAAAACCCACGCAUACUGCUUCGGAAUGAUUGGACGCUAUUCUCAUAUCCCUCACCCUGUUACAUUCGGAUACCACCAUGUGUAUAUGCUGCCACUCUUGCAUUAUAUAUUUAUUUAAAAAAAAUGUUUUUGUCAAAAUGAUGUGGAUGCUUGAGCAUCUGAGCAUACAUGCAAGCUACGCCACUGUCGAUUUAUUUUGCGUUAUUCUCAUUCUGCUAGAAAAAAUGUAGCCAAACUUUGAACUAGUCUCAAAUAAGAUCUGCGCCAUGAGAACAUGAUACACCAGUCUACAUUUCUGCUCGACUUAUUGGUCAAAUGAACUUUGACCCGCCUUUCCCCCCAAAACAAACACACAACAGUAAAUGGGUAGAUAUUAAGACAUUAAAACAUAAGAGAUUAUAACACUAACAAAAGUGAUUGUUUUUUCAAGCCUAACUAAUAAAAUGAUGUUUAGAAACCAAUUAUGUGUAAACAUCGGUGUCACGAUAUAGCACGGAAGUUAUGAAAUUGUAAAGCACAAAGGGAUACGUUAACACUUCUGAUAACGGUUCAAUGAUUUUACAGUCGGCAGUAUUUGAUUUUAGUUGAAAGUCUUCAUACACCCAAAAACAUGAUGCACACUGAGGUACCCACUGACACAACACAUGAAACAUGUGGCAAUACUAAGUUAGGCUACCUCAACUUGAUAUGUUUAACUAAGUGUGCGUCCUCAGUCGAUAUUUGAACAAACAACAUUCUAUAAUUUGACGUUCAAAGUGUGAAAAAAAUGAGACGUUUUUUAAACAAUUUA